This 381-nucleotide ribosomal RNA is filed under the name uncultured eukaryote. RNAcentral describes it as "SSU rRNA". It matches the Rfam family "Eukaryotic small subunit ribosomal RNA", at positions 587 to 972 of the family's 1831-position model. The record is from RNAcentral.
AGCUCCAAUAGCAUAUACUAAAGUUGUUGCAGUUAAAAAGCUCGUAGUUGAAGUUAAAGUUUUAUUGGGCUUAAGUUUUUUACCACUCUGUGGCUAAAAUAACUCCAAUAAUUCUUUUUUUAAUAGCUCAGUUUCUAGGUCUUUGACUCUAGUUAUUUGGGCAUUUCACUGUGAGAAAAUUGUGGUGUUUAAAGCAGGCGUCUCGUCUGAUCUUUUGCAGCAUGGUAUGAUGGAACAUGACAUUUUACGCUAUUGGUUUGCGUCUAAAGUGUAAUGAUUAAUAGGGAUGGAUGGGGAUGUUCAUAUUGGUGGGCGAGAGGUGAAAUUCGUUGACCCUAUCAAGAUGAACUUCUGCGAAAGCAUUCAUCAAAUACUUCCCCA